RNAcentral lists this ribosomal RNA (309 nucleotides) under uncultured eukaryote. RNAcentral's name for it is "partial 18S ribosomal RNA". It matches the Rfam family "Eukaryotic small subunit ribosomal RNA", at positions 1470 to 1796 of the family's 1831-position model. The record is from RNAcentral.
CCCUUAGAUGUUCUGGGCGGCCCGCGCACUACACUGGCACUCUCAAUCAGAGCCUGGAUCUAACACUUUGGGGUAUUCUAUGAAGUGGUGUCGUGACUGGGAUUAACCCUUGCAAUUAUUGGUUACGAACGAGGAAUUCCUUGUAAUCGCGGUUUAUCAGCCCGCGUUGAAUGCGUCCCUGCCCUUUGUGCACACCGCCCGUCGCUCCUACCGAUGGAUCGUCCGGUGAAGCUCAUGGAGGGGCGGUUGUCUCAGCUGCCGUCGAAGUGAAAUGGACCUCACGAUCUAGAGGAAGGAGAAGUCGUAACA